AGCAGCUGCCAAAAAGGCUGCAGAGGAGGGCUCUAAGCAGGAAAAAGGAGGGGAACAACCAUCUAGCUCACAGGACGCAACCAUGACUGAAAGUGCCAGUGUUGCAGCUUCUGAAGCUGACAACAAGAGAAACGAUUUAACGGAUGAAGAGAAUGCUCUCCUACAGCAAGCUCUUGCAAUGUCAAUGGAUGAACCUGCCUCUAGCCAUGAAUUGCGAGAUACUGAUAUGUCAGAGGCUGCUGCAGAUGAUCCAGACUUGGC
This 261-nucleotide unclassified non-coding RNA is filed under the name Hevea brasiliensis (rubber tree). Lineage: Eukaryota; Viridiplantae; Streptophyta; Magnoliopsida; Malpighiales; Euphorbiaceae. The record is from RNAcentral.